GACGAACGCUGGCGGCGUGCUUAACACAUGCAAGUCGAACGGAAAGGCCCUGCUUUUGUGGGGUGCUCGAGUGGCGAACGGGUGAGUAACACGUGAGUAACCUGCCCUUGACUUUGGGAUAACUUCAGGAAACUGGGGCUAAUACCGGAUAGGAGCUCCUGCUGCAUGGUGGGGGUUGGAAAGUUUCGGCGGUUGGGGAUGGACUCGCGGCUUAUCAGCUUGUUGGUGGGGUAGUGGCUUACCAAGGCUUUGACGGGUAGCCGGCCUGAGAGGGUGACCGGCCACAUUGGGACUGGGAUACGGCCCAGACUCCUACGGGAGGCAGGAGUGGGGAAUAUUGCACAAAGGGCGGAAGCCUGAUGCAGCAACGCCGCGUGCGGGAGGACGGCCUUCGGGUUGUAAACCGCUUUCGCCUGUGACGAAGCGGGAGGGACGGUAAUGGGUAAAGAAACACCGGCUAACUACGU
Molecule: ribosomal RNA, 467 nt
Filed under: uncultured bacterium
Lineage: Bacteria
Description: partial 16S ribosomal RNA
Rfam family: Bacterial small subunit ribosomal RNA
Source: RNAcentral